UCUAAUUUCCAUUGCUGCAUUCAAAAUUAAAUACAAAUAAAAGGAGCAAAAAAACGUUCAUAGCAAGAAAAAAAAAAUGGCAGCACCUAAAAUCAUUGUUCUUGCUCUCGUUUUCUUCGCCAUGGCUUGUAUGGUCUCCGCCAUUGAUGAAUAUUCUACAACAACUGCAGCUUUGAAAGACGCAGCUAAUGCUCCUAUUCCGGUUGAAAACAACAACAUUAUUGGUAAUUUUUAUAUUUUUUUUACUUAGUUUUCGAAUAUAUAUAAAUAAUGAAGUUACUGUUCAAAAGAUUCUAAAAUGUGUCAACGUAAAUUGAGACAGGUACGAUUAAUGGUAUUGAUGAAAAUGAAGCUGUAUCUGCUGCACCAGUUGGUGGACCAGUUUCAGGAGUUACUUUUCCUGACAUAAGCCUACCACCAGCACCCAAUGGAGGCAGCAGUAGCAAUGCUAUUGAUUUCACCACAAUUGCCACAAUUAUUGUUGCUGUU
This 489-nucleotide long non-coding RNA is filed under the name Solanum lycopersicum (tomato). RNAcentral's name for it is "long non-coding RNA (SLYC_LNC000152)". Lineage: Eukaryota; Viridiplantae; Streptophyta; Magnoliopsida; Solanales; Solanaceae. The record is from RNAcentral.